RNAcentral lists this ribosomal RNA (253 nucleotides) under uncultured bacterium. RNAcentral's name for it is "partial 16S ribosomal RNA". It matches the Rfam family "Bacterial small subunit ribosomal RNA", at positions 524 to 776 of the family's 1533-position model. The record is from RNAcentral.
UACGUAGGGACCAAGCGUUGUUCGGAUUUACUGGGCGUAAAGGGCGCGUAGGCGGCGCGGUAAGUCACUUGUGAAAUCUCUGAGCUUAACUCAGAACGGCCAAGUGAUACUGCAGUGCUAGAGUGUGGAAGGGGCAAUCGGAAUUCUUGGUGUAGCGGUGAAAUGCGUAGAUAUCAGGAGGAAUACCGAUGGCGAAGGCAGGUCUCUGGGCUAUAACUGACGCUCAUGCACGAAAGCGUGGGGAGCAAACAGG